GGGGCUAGCGUUGCUCGGAAUCACUGGGCGUAAAGGGUGCGUAGGCGGGUCUUUAAGUCAGGGGGGAAAUCCUGGAGCUCAACUCCAGAACUGCCUUUGAUACUGAGGAUCUUGAGUUCGGGAGAGGUGAGUGGAACUGCGAGUGUAGAGGUGAAAUUCGUAGAUAUUCGCAAGAACACCAGUGGCGAAGGCGGCUCACUGGCCCGACACUGACGCUGAGGCACGAAAGCGUGGGGAGCAAACAGG
Molecule: ribosomal RNA, 246 nt
Filed under: uncultured bacterium
Lineage: Bacteria
Description: partial 16S ribosomal RNA
Rfam family: Bacterial small subunit ribosomal RNA
Source: RNAcentral